Molecule: ribosomal RNA, 325 nt
Filed under: uncultured Legionella sp.
Lineage: Bacteria; Pseudomonadati; Pseudomonadota; Gammaproteobacteria; Legionellales; Legionellaceae
Description: bacterial SSU rRNA
Rfam family: Bacterial small subunit ribosomal RNA
Source: RNAcentral
ACCGGCUAACUCCGUGCCAGCAGCCGCGGUAAUACGGAGGGUGCGAGCGUUAAUCGGAAUUACUGGGCGUAAAGGGUGCGUAGGUGGUUGAUUAAGUUAUCUGUGAAAUUCCUGGGCUUAACCUGGGACGGUCAGAUAAUACUGGUUGACUCGAGUAUGGGAGAGGGUAGUGGAAUUUCCGGUGUAGCGGUGAAAUGCGUAGAGAUCGGAAGGAACACCAGUGGCGAAGGCGGCUACCUGGCCUAAUACUGACACUGAGGCACGAAAGCGUGGGGAGCAAACAGGAUUAGAUACCCUGGUAGUCCACGCUGUAAACGAUGUCAAC